Molecule: long non-coding RNA, 885 nt
Filed under: Homo sapiens (human)
Lineage: Eukaryota; Metazoa; Chordata; Mammalia; Primates; Hominidae
Description: HSALNT0015926
Source: RNAcentral
UGGGAAUGUAAAUUAGUUCAGCCACCGUGGAAAGUAGUUUGGAGAUUUCUCAAAGAACUUAAAACAGAGCUACCAUUCAACCCAGCAAUCCCAUUACUGGGUAUAUACCCAAAGGAAUAUAAAUUACUCUACUGUAAAGACACAUGCACACAUGUUCAUCACAGCACUGUUUGCAAUAGCAAAGACACAGAAUCAACUACAUGCCCGUCAACAGUGGACUGAAUAAAGAAAAUGUGGUACAUAUAUACCAUGGAAUACUACACAGCCAUAAAAAAAAGAACAAAAUCAUGUCCUUUGCAGCAGCAUGGAUGGAGCUGGAAGCCAUUAAGCAAAUUAACAUAGAAACAGAAAACCAAAUACCACGUUUUCACUUAUAAAUAGGAACUAAACACUGAGUAUACAUGGACACAAGGAAGGGAACAAUAGACACCAGGGCCUACUUUAGUGUGGAAGGUAAGGAUCAAAAACUACCUAUUACAGCCAAGUGUGGUGGCUCACACUAUAAUUCCAUCACUUUAGGAGGCUGCAACGGGCAGAUCCCUUAAGGCCAGAAGUUUGAGACCACCCUGGCCAACACAGUGAAACCCCGUCUCUACUAAAAAUACAAAAAUUAAAUUAGCGGGCAUGGUGGAAUGUGCCUGUAGUCCCAGCUAUUUGGGAGGCUGAGGUGGGAGAGUUGCUUGAACCUGGGAGGCGGAGGUUGCAGUGAGUCAAGAUCGUGCCACUGCACUCCAGCCUGGGCAACAGAGCAAGACUCCGUCUCAAAAAAUAUAAAAUACAAAUACAAAAAUUAGCUGGGCAUGUUAGGGUGGCACACAUCUGUAGUCCCAGCUACUCGGGAGGCUGAGGUUGCAGCUGAGCCAAGAUUGUGCCACUGCACUCCAG